RNAcentral lists this ribosomal RNA (914 nucleotides) under uncultured marine archaeon. Its description in RNAcentral is "bacterial SSU rRNA". It matches the Rfam family "Archaeal small subunit ribosomal RNA", at positions 1 to 922 of the family's 1478-position model. The record is from RNAcentral.
UUCCGGUUGAUCCCGCCGGACCUGACUGCUAUCGGAUUGAUACUAAGCCAUGCGAGUCUUUGUAGUAAUACAAGGCAGACGGCUCAGUAACACGUAGUCAACCUACCCUAUGGACAAGAAUAAUCUCGGGAAACUGGGCAUAAUUCUUGAUAGAUCAUAAUGCCUGGAAUGGUUUAUGGUUAAAAUGAUUCGUCGCCAUAGGAUGGGACUGCGGCCUAUCAGCUUGUUGGUGAGGUAAUGGCCCACCAAGGCGAUUACAGGUACGGGCUCUGAGAGGAGAAGCCCGGAGAUGGGUACUGAGACAAGGACCCAGGCCCUAUGGGGCGCAGCAGGCGAGAAAACUUUGCAAUGUGCGAAAGCACGACAAGGUUAGUCCGAGUGAUUUCUGCUAAAGAGAUCUUUUGCUAGUUAUAAAACCACUAGUGAAUAAGGGGUGGGCAAGUUCUGGUGUCAGCCGCCGCGGUAAAACCAGCACCUCAAGUGGUCAGGAUGAUUAUUGGGCCUAAAGCAUCCGUAGCCGGCUCUGUAAGUUUUCGGUUAAAUCCAUGUGCUCAACACAUGGGCUGCCGAAAAUACUGCAUAGCUAGGGAGUGGGAGAGGUAGACGGUACUCAGUAGGAAGGGGUAAAAUCCUUUGAUCUAUUGAUGACCACCUGUGGCGAAGGCGGUCUACCAGAACACGUUCGACGGUGAGGGAUGAAAGCUGGGGGAGCAAACCGGAUUAGAUACCCGGGUAGUCCCAGCUGUAAACGAUGCAGACUCGAUGAUGCAUUGGCAUAUAGCCAGUGCAGUGUCGCAGGGAAGCCGUUAAGUCUGCCGCCUGGGAAGUACGUACGCAAGUAUGAAACUUAAAGGAAUUGGCGGGGGAGCACCACAAGGGGUGAAGCCUGCGGUUCAAUUGGAGUCAACGCCGGG